RNAcentral lists this ribosomal RNA (460 nucleotides) under uncultured bacterium. RNAcentral describes it as "partial 16S ribosomal RNA". It matches the Rfam family "Bacterial small subunit ribosomal RNA", at positions 338 to 795 of the family's 1533-position model. The record is from RNAcentral.
CCUACGGGGUGCAGCAGUGAGGAAUAUUGGUCAAUGGGCGCGAGCCUGAACCAGCCAAGUAGCGUGAAGGAUGACUGCCCUACGGGUUGUACACUUCUUUUAUAAAGGAAUAAAGUGAGGCACGUGGGCCUUUUUGUAUGUACUUUAUGAAUAAGGAUCGGCUAACUCCGUGCCAGCAGCCGCGGUGAUACGGAGGUUCCGAGCGUUAUCAGGAUUUAUUGGGUUUAAAGGGAGCGUAGAGGGGUUGUUAAGUCAGUUGUGAAAGUUUGCUGCUCAACCGUUAAAUUGCAAUUGAUACUGGCAGUCUUGAGUACAGUUGAGGUAGGCGGAAUUCGUGGUGUAGCGGUGAAAUGCUUAGAUAUCACGAAGAACUCCGAUUGCGAAGGCAGCUUACUAAACUGCCACUGACAUUGAUGCUCGAAAGUGUGGGUAUCAAACAGGAUUAGAUACCCCAGUAGUC